This 467-nucleotide long non-coding RNA is filed under the name Arabidopsis lyrata. RNAcentral's name for it is "long non-coding RNA (ALYR_LNC003175)". The record is from RNAcentral. Lineage: Eukaryota; Viridiplantae; Streptophyta; Magnoliopsida; Brassicales; Brassicaceae.
GGCUCGCUCCGGUCCCAACUUUCGCCUUUUCUGCUUUACCGGUUUAUAGGUUGAGUCGACGUUAAGCUCGUGCGUAACGAUCAUAGGGUCGAUGCCUAUCAUGUCGUCUACGCUCCAGGCGAACGUCUUAGAAUUCUUUUUUAGGAACGCGAUGAGUGGUUCUUUAACCGAUGGUACUAUCUCGGCCCCAAUUGCGACGCAUCUUGUCUUAUCCGUCUCGUCAAUAUUCACUUGUUCUGUUCUGCUCAGUUGAGGCUCUUCGAGGGACUUUUUUAGGGUCGGGACGGUCGACGAUGUUGGCAUCGUUAAUUGCUAUAACUUCUUAGCGACGCGGUUCUUGUGUUCGAUGAGAAAACAUGUUCUUGCGAUCUGUUGAUUCCCUCUCAAGGUGAACACUCCGUUGUGCGUCGGGAACUUGAUGCACUGGUGGUACGUGGACGGGAUCGCCUGCAUUUGAUGCAUCCAGG